AGAGAAGCCGGCACUCAGAUUGACAGGCAAAUAAGCCAGCUUGUGGAAGGGGCCUCUGGGUGGCAGCUCUGGGCUUUUGGGUGUUGGACAACCAUAGGCAAAACUGAAAUGGAACAGGGGCAGAAAAUAGCACACUUUUACUCUACGCAACUGUUGCUUUUUCAUGAUCUUCAGGAAUUUUACUGGGAUAAUUAUCCAAAUAAAUUGCAAGCAUUCUAUCCAAAUGGAGCUCUUUCUGAGAUGAAGAGAAUUCUCAAUGUCAAGAUUUGAACAAGAAGAGAAUGGAAUACACAAUAUGGACAUCCAUAAAAAUUCAUCAGAGAGCAUUUUACUACUGAGCUGCAAAGGGAAAAACUUAAAAUGGAUAUGAAAAGUGAAGAAAGUGAUCAUAGGAGAAAACCAUUUCAGAUGACAAGAGCACCUCAAAGGCAGCAGCCUCAAGGAGCAGCCAUGGCCCCAGACUUGUCGCACGGAUGCAGAAAACUUAAUGGAGGAGGCUGAGGUCAGAAUGGGAAGAGUUUUUAAAAAAUAAAAAGGGGAGCUAAUAUGUGAGGAACUGAUUGCUGUGCAUUAUUUUCCACUGAACAGACCUUCUUUUAACUUCUAAUCUCAAGCACAUAGCAGCUGUUGUUUUCAU
This 637-nucleotide long non-coding RNA is filed under the name Homo sapiens (human). RNAcentral's name for it is "non-protein coding MIR99AHG:12". Lineage: Eukaryota; Metazoa; Chordata; Mammalia; Primates; Hominidae. The record is from RNAcentral.